Molecule: transfer RNA, 71 nt
Rfam family: tRNA
About the family: Transfer RNA (tRNA) molecules are approximately 80 nucleotides in length. Their secondary structure includes four short double-helical elements and three loops (D, anti-codon, and T loops).
GCCCGGGUGGCCGAGUGGUUAGGCAGUCGGCUGCAGACCGACGUACAGGGGUUCGAAUCCCCUCCCGGGCU